This 460-nucleotide ribosomal RNA is filed under the name uncultured bacterium. Its description in RNAcentral is "partial 16S ribosomal RNA". It matches the Rfam family "Bacterial small subunit ribosomal RNA", at positions 338 to 795 of the family's 1533-position model. The record is from RNAcentral.
CCUACGUGAGGCAGCAGUGAGGAAUAUUGGUCAAUGGCCGGAAGGCUGAACCAGCCAUGCCGCGUGAAGGUCAGUGCCCUAUGGGCGUUAAACUUCUUUUGUGCGGGAGCAAUAAGGGUAACGUGUGGCCAGACGAGAGUACCGUACGAAUAAGCAUCGGCUAACUCCGUGCCAGCAGCCGCGGUAAUACGGGGGAUGCAAGCGUUAUCGGGAUUUAUUGGGUGUAAAGGGUGCGUAGGCUGUGAGGUAAGUCAGCGGUGAAAUGCCCCCGCCCAACGGGGUGAAGUGACAUUGAUACUGCCUUGCUGGAAUGCGGAUGCCGUGGGAGGAAUGUGUGGUGUAGCGGUGAAAUGCAUAGAGAUCACACAGAACACCGAUUGCGAAGGCAUCUCACGAAUCCGCGAUUGACGCUGAUGCACGAAAGCGUGGGUAUCAAACAGGAUUAGAUACCCGUGUAGUC